CAAAGCGUGGUGUCACUUACCUCAGAGUAGUCUCCAUUACCAACAGCUGAUGAUUCCAAAGCGUGGUGCCCAAGAAGAAGACAAGCAAAAGUCAGGACAGAAGGAGAUCUCUCAAUACAUUUGAUGAUCAGAACAGUAGACCACUUUUGCAAGAACCUAUAAACAUUAUUCUAUCCUAUAAGUAGGAACUGAUUAAAGAUGGAUGUUCAGAUAGCAUCACGCUCUGCAGCAGAAGUCAUCCCAGCAGGAGAAAAGUGUUGCGGCUAUGAUACCAGAGAUGAGAAGACAGAGAAGAUGCCACUCAUCAUAUGCAUGUGUGUUCCAAAUAAAGAGACCCCCCAAUCUGCCUAGAGCCAUGAUGAUAUGAUGAUAGAAGAGUGCUAGUGACUAUGGAAUAGCUGAGGCUAUGCAAGAAAAAGGGCAGCUGAGAAUAAAUGAAAGGGAAAAGGCUAUGAUGUUUUAUUCCCUGAAAAUGGCCUAGGGCAAUUGACUGCUUGUAACAGCUUAACUACUUUACAGGAUAAAUAUUCAUUGUUUUAUUUUUAGCUUUUACCCUACUAUGUUCCAAUACAUUCUACACGCUCAUAAGGACAAAAUGGAUAUUAUAGAUUUUUUAGGGUACAAAUACGUUUGUGUUCUAUUUGAUGAAUAUUGAAACAUAUAUAAUAGUCUUUUGACAAAUAAUACAUGAAUUUGUUGCCUUUUAAAUAAGGGUGGUCUUCAUUGGAUACAAUGCAUUGGGAAAGUCUUUAGACCCUUUAAUGUUUUUUAAGUUGUAAUGUUGCGGCCUUAUGCUAAAAUAAGAAAAAAUGAAGUGUUCCCUCAUCAAUCUACACCCACUACCCCAUAAUGAGAAUGUGAAAACAGAUUUUUUUUGCCAAUUUAUUAAAAAUGAAGAAAUAAAAAUUUGAUUGGACAUAAGUAUUCAAAACCUUUGCUAUGACACUUGAAAUUUUUCUCUGAGAUGUUUCUACGCCUUUUUUGUCACUUUUGGUCAAUUCAGUUCAUUCAGUUGAUUGGACAUAACUUGACACAGUCCUGUCAAUAUAAGGUUUCACAGCUGACAAUCUACAGGGUGGGCCAUUUAUAUGGAUACACCUUAAUAAAAUGGGAAUGGUUGGUGAUAUUAACUUGUGGCACAUUAGGAUAUGUGAGGGGGGAAACUUUUCAAGAUGGGUGGUGACCAUGGCGGCCAUUUUGAAAUCAGCCAUUUUGAAUCCAAC
This is a long non-coding RNA of Hyla sarda, 1223 nucleotides long. RefSeq lists it as uncharacterized. Lineage: Eukaryota; Metazoa; Chordata; Amphibia; Anura; Hylidae. The record is from RefSeq and is a predicted model, not a curated record. The transcript has 3 exons.